RNAcentral lists this ribosomal RNA (497 nucleotides) under uncultured bacterium. RNAcentral's name for it is "partial 16S ribosomal RNA". It matches the Rfam family "Bacterial small subunit ribosomal RNA", at positions 28 to 507 of the family's 1533-position model. The record is from RNAcentral.
GAUGAACGCUGGCGGCGUGCCUAAUACAUGCAAGUCGAGCGAACAGACGAGGAGCUUGCUCCUCUGACGUUAGCGGCGGACGGGUGAGUAACACGUGGAUAACCUACCUAUAAGACUGGGAUAACUUCGGGAAACCGGAGCUAAUACCGGAUAAUAUAUUGAACCGCAUGGUUCAAUAGUGAAAGACGGUUUUGCUGUCACUUAUAGAUGGAUCCGCGCCGCAUUAGCUAGUUGGUAAGGUAACGGCUUACCAAGGCAACGAUGCGUAGCCGACCUGAGAGGGUGAACGGCCACACUGUAACUGAGACACGGUCCAGACUCCUACGGGAGGCAGCAGUAGGGAAUCUUCCGCAAUGGGCGAAAGCUUGACGGAGCAACGCCGCGUGAGUGAUGAAGGUCUUCGGAUCGUAAAACUCUGUUAUUAGGGAAGAACAAAUGUGUAAGUAACUAUGCACGUCUUGACGGUACCUAAUCAGAAAGCCACGGCUAACUACGUG